CAGCUCCACUGAGGUUGAAACUGCAAUCCUCGUGCGGGCUGCAACCUCCGAACCAAGUGAGAUUGAUGGUGGCAGCACUGAUAUCAUAGAAAUGCCCUCUAACAUUCCUCCCGGCUCCUUCUCAAUUCAAUGUCCUGAAAAAGAGGAAACCUCGUAUUUUACUUCUGAUCCUAGGAGAAGAUCUAAUGCAAAGAAGCACAAGAAGGACAAGAGCGCACCGGGUUGCAAGGAGAGGGACGCAAUAAUGUCCAACACCAAAGUUAAGACGCCAUACAUGAGAUUCUUAAGGAUGAGGAAACCACGUAACAUCAGCAAGAUCUCUUUCAUCGAGAAGUCCCCUGCUGACAGAGAGGCUACCAUGACUGAUCUCUCUGGGUACUCCAGCAGCAUGGAGCAUUCCUCGGAGGUGAAGGUGUGCACUGACUCUUCAAAGACAAAUAUGCAGCUGUUCCCUGACAUGGCACACG
Molecule: long non-coding RNA, 467 nt
Filed under: Physcomitrium patens
Lineage: Eukaryota; Viridiplantae; Streptophyta; Bryopsida; Funariales; Funariaceae
Description: long non-coding RNA (PPAT_LNC007228)
Source: RNAcentral